Oreochromis aureus is the source of this 1738-nucleotide long non-coding RNA. NCBI's taxonomy places the organism in Eukaryota, Metazoa, Chordata, Actinopteri, Cichliformes, Cichlidae. The record is from Ensembl.
CUGUGAAGCCGUACCUUAUUGCCCAACGAUGUUGCAGACGUCAUUGCUUCUCUGGAAAUGUCUUUCACAAGAGUGACUUUGGUUUGGGAUAUUCAACCAUGACAUGUGAGUGUAAUGUUCGCCUCAUAAAGCCAUAAACCAUUUGAAUACCAUUACAAAACUGGCUGGUGGCGCCAGACUACUGUGUCCAUCAUUCUUGACUGACUGCAGACCCCGCUGCCAUGCUGACUGACAGUCGGGGUGCCGGAGACGCUGCUAUCUCUCGCCUUGCCGCUGCCUGAUCCUGGGGAGCAUCCCUGACCACCUCACCCACCAGUUUCAGCUGCUUGAAGACUCCAGUGUUUGCUGACGAGGCUGCGGGGGCCUGUUACUCCCACACCGGGGGGUCAGCUAAUCCACUCGCUGCCCCGCGGAGUGUGAGUGAUGGUGGCCCAGCACGGGCAGGCUUGAGUGAGCAGCAGAUAGAUAUGAAACGACCCCCGGAGAGCGGAGCGGGGCGACCACGAUCAGGAAAAUGACUGCAACCCCGCUUCGAGCCUCUGCUGUGAUCACUGAGAAGGGUCAGUGACAUCCAUCUGUCGGAGGACUGAGCGUGCCGCAGGGGGGAGGAAGGUGUAUGUCUCCCCACCCCCUCAGGCUUCGCCCUUGGCACUGGCUCUGAAGUUAUGACCCGACAGACAGAAAUAAAUGCACUCUACACACAUCUAACGUGGAGUGAAGUUCCUCACAGGGCUUGCACAUGCAGAGCUCAGAGCACAUCACAAGGUGGCGGUACACCCAGCGACUAAACACUGCUGUCAUGAAGGGCCUUGUAUUUGUGGACAGCAAUAAAGUCUGUUUUGGUUAUAGACACCAUUUUUCCUGAUCCUGCAGCUCCAAAACGACCACACCAGUUUAAAUUUACGACUGCAUGCAGAACAUGACGAGCUGUGAUCCCACAGGUCCUCUGCUAACUGAGCAAAAACCUACCCCUGGACCCAGAGUUCAGAAGUCUGGCUGAAUUUAUUGUCUCAGUUUAUGGUCGGGCUGAGCAAAGUGCAAUCUGGUUGUCUGGACAAACUCUUCGAGGACCAGAGAAGAAGGGAGGGACGUGACAAAGGGGGCCUGGAUUUGUACAUUGCUGCAUUUUGGGAUCACUUUUUUUUUUUUUUUUUAGGAAUUUAAAGCAGUAAAUUGUUGACAGACAUGAGCAGUUUUAUUUUUAACCACUGCCACAAUAAAGAUAAAAUGUCUUCAUGUUUGUCAGUUUAUAGUUGUUGUUAAAGAAAUUAAUUAAAGUCAUUCGAAUGGCGCGAUAUAUGAUACAAUCCUUCACGUGUUUUCAUGUGUUUAUAUGGUGGCGGUGGUAGUGGUGGUGGGGGGUGUACCUGCAAACUCCACCUUAGACAGUAAAGCCAUAAACUCAGUUAUCCUCUACCUCAGAUCCUUCCUCAAAACAUAUAGUCCCCCGACUUGCUGAUUGCUUUAUUGAUAUGGAUCUGGGCAAAGUGUCGAACCACUUGUUCAUCUCCGUCAGAAGCAGUUAAUCGGUAUUUAUGCAAUGGGAGGAGAGACGGAGGUCGACAUAAACAACUUCUGAAUGAAACAGAGUCCUGUAGGUGUAAGGGCAUAAGGGAGCAGGAGGCUCAGUGCCAGUUUAUCAGGUACUCUGUAUUAACACAGAAUAACUGAAACACGUGUCCGCAGUGAGCCGUCACAAAUACAUCCAUAAAAAUAACCAGGCGAGGUUUAAAACGGC